UACAGAGGGUGCAAGCGUUGUUCGGAAUUAUUGGGCGUAAAGCGCGUGUAGGCGGCUUUGCAAGUCGGGUGUGAAAGCCCUCAGCUCAACUGAGGAAGUGCGCCCGAAACUGCAGAGCUUGAGUACCGGAGAGGAUGGCGGAAUUCCCCAAGUAGAGGUGAAAUUCGUAGAUAUGGGGAGGAACACCGGUGGCGAAGGCGGCUCACUGGACUGGUACUGACGCUGAGGCGCGAAAGCGUGGGGAGCAAACGGG
Molecule: ribosomal RNA, 253 nt
Filed under: uncultured bacterium
Lineage: Bacteria
Description: partial 16S ribosomal RNA
Rfam family: Bacterial small subunit ribosomal RNA
Source: RNAcentral